GAGCUACUCCAAGACAGCCUCUAAGGGCGCACCCGUCUCUGUGGCAAAAGAGUGGGAAGAUCUUUGAGUAGAGGUGACAGACCUACCGAACUUGGUUAUAGCUGGUUGCUCAGGAAAUGAAUAGGAGUUCAGCCUUUUGCCCUCUCACUACACACAGCGGCUACACUUUCAAAGCACUAGAGCCGGGCAAAGGAGUUAGUCAAAGGGGGUACAGCCCCUUUGAAGAAAGAUACAACUUUACCAGGAGGGUUUAGAUCACAACAACUAUUAAGGGAAUGUGUCCUAGUUGGCCUAAGAGCAGCCACCCACACAGAAAGCGUUAAAGCUCAGACACUUUUCUACCCCUACUAUCCUGACCACAUAAUCUCACCCCCCUAACCAUACUGAGCCUUCCCAUACCCCUAUGGGAGCGAUCAUGCUAAUAUGAGUAAUAAGAGACCUAGAAUCUCUCCCUGCACAAGCGUAAAUCGGAACGAACUAACACCGAGAAUUAACGGCCCCAAAAAAGAGGGAACUGAAAUAUUAUGGCCAAGCCACUAGGAGACCAUCCACUCCACCACCGUUAACCUUACACCAGAGUGCAAACAAGGAAAGACUAAAAGAAA
RNAcentral lists this ribosomal RNA (605 nucleotides) under Ostorhinchus taeniophorus (reef-flat cardinalfish). RNAcentral describes it as "partial 16S ribosomal RNA". The stretch from base 1 to 420 matches the Rfam family "Bacterial large subunit ribosomal RNA", at positions 727 to 1298 of the family's 2925-position model. The record is from RNAcentral. Lineage: Eukaryota; Metazoa; Chordata; Actinopteri; Kurtiformes; Apogonidae.